UACGAAGGGGGCUAGCGUUGCUCGGAAUCACUGGGCGUAAAGCGCACGUAGGCGGGUCGUUAAGUCAGGGGUGAAAUCCUGGAGCUCAACUCCAGAACUGCCCCUGAUACUGGCGAUCUCGAGUUCGGGAGAGGUGAGUGGAACUGCGAGUGUAGAGGUGAAAUUCGUAGAUAUUCGCAAGAACACCAGUGGCGAAGGCGGCUCACUGGCCCGAUACUGACGCUGAGGUGCGAAAGCGUGGGGAGCAAACAGG
RNAcentral lists this ribosomal RNA (253 nucleotides) under uncultured bacterium. Its description in RNAcentral is "partial 16S ribosomal RNA". It matches the Rfam family "Bacterial small subunit ribosomal RNA", at positions 524 to 776 of the family's 1533-position model. The record is from RNAcentral.